This 439-nucleotide ribosomal RNA is filed under the name uncultured bacterium. RNAcentral describes it as "bacterial SSU rRNA". It matches the Rfam family "Bacterial small subunit ribosomal RNA", at positions 49 to 497 of the family's 1533-position model. The record is from RNAcentral.
UUAUGCAUGCAAGUCGAGCGAAGCUUUUCAGUAGUUUACUACAGAAAAUGACUGAGCGGCGAACGGGUGAGUAACGCGUGAGCAACCUACCUUAGUUACUGGGAUAGCCCGAGGAAACUCGGAUUAAUACCGGAUAUUCUUAUUUAAUCACAUGAUUUUUUAAGGAAAGGUCAGCCGAACUAAGAUGGGCUCGCGUUCUAUCAGCUAGUUGGUAGGGUAAUGGCCUACCAAGGCUACGACGGAUAGCUGGUCUGAGAGGACGAUCAGCCACACUGGGACUGAGACACGGCCCAGACUCCUACGGGAGGCUGCAGCAGGGAAUAUUGCGCAAUGAGCGAAAGCUUGACGCAGCGACACCGCGUGUGGGAUGACGGAUCUAGGUUUGUAAACCACUUUCAGGAGGGAAGAAAAUGACGGUACCUCCACAAGAAGCCCCGGC